Nematostella vectensis (starlet sea anemone) is the source of this 239-nucleotide long non-coding RNA. RefSeq lists it as uncharacterized. The transcript is spliced from 2 exons. Lineage: Eukaryota; Metazoa; Cnidaria; Anthozoa; Actiniaria; Edwardsiidae. The record is from RefSeq and is a predicted model, not a curated record.
ACGGCACUUCCAUCACGUGCAGGGUUCCCGUGCUGUCGCCUGCUGCCAGCAGCUGCUGCUUACCUGCAAGGAAAAUAGGACAAAGAACAAAUGAUAAAGGUGGGAGUCUUUCAAGGCCUUGCCUGCAAGGAAAAUAGGACAAAGAACAAAUAAUAAAGGUGGGAGUCUUUCAAGGCCUUGCCUGCGAGGAAAAUAGGACAAAGAACAAAUAAUAAAGGUGGGAGUCUUUCAAGGCCUUG